CUGAAUUCAUGUGCCUAUUUUGUGCUUUCAUGUUUCCUGUUACGUGUGAAUACAGUUGUUAUUACAGAGUAACACAUGAGCACCUAUAUCAUGAACUAUGGUUUAUUUGCUAGAUUUCUAAGUGAGACAUAGAAAUUAUGGAUACAACCGGUACUGUAAAUGGAACGUUAUGGGAGACGAUGCAAAACAUUUUACUGCUCCGAUUAAUGCAGUUUUAGCUGUCAAGAGUGCAAGAGUUUCAGACUUUGGAGGUCGUUCACUGUCUUUCACAUCUGGCAGUUCGCUAGCAAUCAACCCAGAUCAUGGAUCUGCAGAUCACCUAAAAGAAUGGUAUGAAUAUGUUGAAUUCCAACAACAUCACCUUGAAUCCAUUACCACCCAGCAGACAUACAUCAAUACGCCCACAAAACUAUUGAGUCAAAUCAAAGAUGAAAAUCUUGGCCGUGGAGACAAGCCGGACUAUUUCAAUGUGCAAGCAACUGUACUGUUUUCAAGAAAGAUAAUGCUCUUUACAAAGCUUGCCCACUGGAAGACCAGAACUUCAAAGUGGUUGACAUAGGGAAUGGACAAUACCGUUGUGAGAAACUCGACACAACAUUUGAUUCAUUCAAAUGGCGAAAUUGCUUGCAGGAAGAAGAAAAGCUCAAAUGCACUUGCAUUUCCGUUAGGAAUAUGUAGAACUGUGACAGUUAUUACUCCAAAUAAAUCAAUUUGUUGCUGAUAGAUAACAUUCUGCCAGCUGUUUUUGCCUUACACACUUUUAUUAACUUGUUAACAUGCAUUUAGAAACAACGCCUAAUCUAGCUGCAUUUGUAACGU
Molecule: RNA transcript, 819 nt
Organism: Corticium candelabrum
Lineage: Eukaryota; Metazoa; Porifera; Homoscleromorpha; Homosclerophorida; Plakinidae
Gene name: replication protein A 70 kDa DNA-binding subunit-like
Exons: 8
Source: RefSeq, a predicted model, not a curated record